This 779-nucleotide ribosomal RNA is filed under the name uncultured Neocallimastigales. Its description in RNAcentral is "partial large subunit ribosomal RNA". It matches the Rfam family "Eukaryotic large subunit ribosomal RNA", at positions 24 to 616 of the family's 3401-position model. The record is from RNAcentral. Lineage: Eukaryota; Fungi; Neocallimastigomycota; Neocallimastigomycetes; Neocallimastigales.
UACGACUACAUAUCAGGCAUAUCAAUAAGCGGAGGAAAAGAAACUAACUAGGACUUCCCUUCAGUAACGGCGAGUGAAGCGGGAAGAGCUCAAAUUUGAAAUCUUCAAGGUUUUACCCUGACGAAUUGUAGUUUAAAGAAGUGUUUUCUGUUGGAGUUUUGGUAAAAGUUCUUUGGAAUAGGACAUCAUAGAGGGUGAGAAUCCCGUAUUUGACCAUUAUUUCCAGCUUUGUGAUACACUUUCAAAGAGUCGGAUUGUUUGGGAAUGCAGUCCAAAAUGGGUGAUAAAUUUCAUCUAAAGCUAAAUAUUGGCGAGAGACCGAUAGCGAACAAGUACCGUGAGGGAAAGAUGAAAAGAACUUUGAAAAGAGAGUUAAACAGUACGUGAAAUUGUCAAAAGGGAAGCGUUUGACACCAGUGUUGUUUUCUCGAAAAUCAAUUAAAAAAUGGCAUGAUUUUGUGUUGUAUUGACUUUAUCAAGCUUUCUGCACUCUUUUCUUGUCUUUUUUAAUGCACUUUUCGUUUAACAAGUCAACAUCAAUUUCUUUUGUUGUAAAAGGGUCAUUGGAAGGUGGCUUUCUUUUCGGAGAAAGUGUUUAUAGCCUAUUGGCCUCUGCAAUCGGAGAGAUUGAGGUCUGCAGCGUAGAUCCUUCGGGGUUAGAUACAUUUGUGCUAAGUUAUAGCCUUUCAUAGACAACUUGUUGACUAUGAUCAGUCAUGUAGCUUACUCGCUUAUGCUAUUUUACCUACGCUUAGGAUGUUGAGCGCAUGUCUCUCUCU